GACGAACGCUGGCGGCGUGCUUAACACACGCAAGUCGAGCGGUAAGGCCCUUUCGGGGGUACACGAGCGGCGAACGGGUGAGUAACACGUGGGUGACCUGCCCUCAGCUCUGGGAUAAGCCUGGGAAACCGGGUCUAAUACCGGAUAUGACUCCAUGACGCAUGUUGUGGGGUGGAAAGCCUUGUGCGGCUGAGGAUGGGCCCGCGGCCUAUCAGCUUGUUGGUGGGGUGAUGGCCUACCAAGGCGACGACGGGUAGCCGGCCUGAGAGGGCGACCGGCCACACUGGGACUGAGACACGGCCCAGACUCCUACGGGAGGCAGCAGUGGGGAAUCUUGCGCAAUGGGCGAAAGCCUGACGCAGCGACGCCGCGUGAGGGAUGACGGCCU
Molecule: ribosomal RNA, 388 nt
Filed under: uncultured bacterium
Lineage: Bacteria
Description: bacterial SSU rRNA
Rfam family: Bacterial small subunit ribosomal RNA
Source: RNAcentral